Molecule: ribosomal RNA, 472 nt
Filed under: uncultured organism
Description: partial 16S ribosomal RNA
Rfam family: Bacterial small subunit ribosomal RNA
Source: RNAcentral
UACACUCCUACGGGAGGCAGCAGUGGGGAAUUUUGGACAAUGGGCGGAAGCCUGAUCCAGCAAUGCCGCGUGUGUGAAGAAGGCCUUCGGGUUGUAAAGCACUUUUGUCCGGAAAGAAAUCCUUGGCUCUAAUACAGUCGGGGGAUGACGGUACCGGAAGAAUAAGCACCGGCUAACUACGUGCCAGCAGCCGCGGUAAUACGUAGGGUGCGAGCGUUAAUCGGAAUUACUGGGCGUAAAGCGUGCGCAGGCGGUUUGCUAAGACCGAUGUGAAAUCCCCGGGCUCAACCUGGGAACUGCAUUGGUGACUGGCAGGCUAGAGUAUGGCAGAGGGGGGUAGAAUUCCACGUGUAGCAGUGAAAUGCGUAGAGAUGUGGAGGAAUACCGAUGGCGAAGGCAGCCCCCUGGGCCAAUACUGACGCUCAUGCACGAAAGCGUGGGGAGCAAACAGGAUUAGAUACCCGAGUAGUCC